Molecule: ribosomal RNA, 1149 nt
Filed under: uncultured bacterium
Lineage: Bacteria
Description: bacterial SSU rRNA
Rfam family: Bacterial small subunit ribosomal RNA
Source: RNAcentral
GGUGUAAAGCUCCGGCGGAAUAAGAUCGGCCUUGCUCCUAUCAGCUUGUUGGUGAGGUAAUGGCUUACCAAGGCGACGACGGGUAGUUGGUCUGAGAGGAUGAUCAGCCACAGUGGCACUGAGACACGGGCCACACACCUACGGGUGGCAGCAGUUGGGAAUAUUGCGCAAUGGGCGACAGCCUGACGCAGCGACGCCGCGUGGUCGAAGAAGCCCUUCGGGGUGUAAAGACCUUUUUUAGGGGACGAUUGUGACGGUACCCUAAGAAUAAGAGCCUGCUAACUACGUGCCAGCAGCAGCGGUAAUACGUAGGGCUCAAGCGUUGUCCGGAAUUAUUGGGCGUAAAGAGUAUGUAGGUGGAACUUCCAGUCAAAUUUAAAAGGCCCGGGCUUAACUCGGGUUCUGGAUUUGAAACUAAAGUUCUUAGAGUUUAACAGGGGCAAGUGGAACUCCCGGUGUAGCAGUGAAAUGCGUUGAUAUCGGGAAGAACACCAAUGGCGAAGGCAGCUUGCUAGGUUAAUACUGACACUGAGAUACGAAAGCGUGGGGAGCGAACGGGAUUAGAUACCCCGGUAGUCCACGCCGUAAACGAUGCAGACUAGCUAUCAGAAGUAUCGACCCUUCUUGUAGCGAAGCUAACGCGUUAAGUCUGCCGCCUGGGAAGUACGGUCGCAAGACUAAAACUCAAAGGAAUUGACGGGGACUCGCACAAGCGGUGGAGCAUGUGGUUUAAUUCGACAAUAAGCGAAGAACCUUACCAGGGCUUGACAUCUAGAGAACCCUGCAGAAAUGCGGGGGUGCCCGCAAGGGAGCUCUAAGACAGGUGCUGCACGGUUGUCGUCAGCUCGUGCUGUAAAGUGUGGCCUUAAGUGGUCCAACGAGCGAAACCUGUGUUCUGUUGUUGAUUUUCACAGGAGACUGCCUCGGUUUACGGGGAGGAAGGCGUAGAUGACGUCAAGUCAGCGUGGCUCUUACACCCUGGGCUACACACGUGCUACAAUGGCAAAAAUAACGAGUUGCAAAAUCGUAAGAUCAAGCUAAUCUCUCAAAUUUUGCCUCAGUACGGAUUGAGGGCUGCAAUUCGCCCUCAUGAAGCUGGAAUCGCUAGUAAUCGUGGGCCAGCUAUACCACGGUGAAUACGUUCUCGAG